Alexandromys fortis (reed vole) is the source of this 3074-nucleotide long non-coding RNA. RefSeq lists it as uncharacterized. Lineage: Eukaryota; Metazoa; Chordata; Mammalia; Rodentia; Cricetidae. The transcript has 19 exons. The record is from RefSeq and is a predicted model, not a curated record.
AGUCCAUGCGAGCCUGUCUCUAAUAUUGAAGAUUUAUAUAUCUUAAUGGACAAGAACCCCAAAGGUUCAAUGUUGCGCUCCUCAUGCUACCUGGAAGACCCUGAGCCUCUGUGGGGCAGGAAGAAAGGGACUCAGUUUGUGCUUGACUACAGCAAGUGGAUGCGCCCCCUCCAACUAAAUCAUUCUGGAACAUGAAAGGUCUCAGAUUUUACCUCUGUGGGUAAGGAAAGAAGAGAUUAAUGACCCCUGAUUUAAUUAUUUAAUAUGGAAUCAUUGUCCUGAGUCAGGAGCGUAGAUGAGAAUAAAGAAUGAGCACAGCUGAUGUGGCUUCCUGGCUACCUUCUGGGGAAGAUCUUGCCUGUUUCCCUCUGGAAAAGAUUGCUCAUCCCUCAGAAGCAAUGGCUUUGGUCUGCUUUAAGCACUGGACCCCGCUCACAAACCCUACACUUUUUCUCGAUUUACACGAAGACCACAAAACCUGUGUGAGUAAUAUUUAAAAGUAUUGUUUUUCUCAAUAGGAUGCUCUGUUUUAUUAUAGAGUAUCAGUGAUAUCUGAGCAAAUGAUCUGGUUGUUCUGAAGAAGAAAACACAGCCAUAGGCACACAUUACUAGAGAAGAAGAAGGCUAACACGGACCGAUGAUGACAAGGGUCAGCACUAUAAGUCACUGACGAUGACUAUAAUUUUUCUGUCUGAGGUUCACAAAACAACACAUCUCAGGUGCUCCCUCCGUUAGCCAGGGGAUGGAAGUUAGGCCUGUGGAGUACGCACUGUGCAUCAGAAUCAGGCACUUUUAGGCAUCUUCUUUUCUCAGUGGAUCAAUGAAACACGAUACAAAUAUAUACAAAAAUGCAAAUGUAAAUGAACAUUUUGAGACAUCAAUUAGAAAAUAAAUAUUUGACUACAAAUUCUGCUACGACAUGGAGAAAACACAGAAGCCAGUUAAGAUUAAUGGCAUAAAGAUUAUAUAAAAUGUAUCCAAGUUCACAUACGAAGUGUAAUUAAUGGGUUAGGCUCCAGUAUGGGAUAACACCUUAAUUUUAAUUUUGAGUCUUACUUGAUUUCUCCAGACAACAUCCUAACAACCUGAAUCCUAAAUAACAAAUAUUGAAAGGAGAAAUGUAGACAUAAUUUGAAAAAUAUCAAAUCUUUUUAUUUUUUUUUCCGGCGUUGUACUCUCUGGAUGGCUGAUGACUGACCCAUUGUUUCCUGGCUGGGAGGUCCAUGGUUUUCCUAGCCUCACGUUUAACGAUCAAGGGAACUGACGAGCUUAUGAAGACAGGAUGCCUGAGGAUUCCACAGGAAGUAAAAUGAUAAGAACCUUCUUUGUAUUGUCAGAGCAAUGUCCAGUGUUUCUGUCCUUAGUAGAUCAUAUGACAGUGUCCUACAGAUUUAGAAUGGAUUCCGCCCCCACGCGGAUUUUCACUCUCCCUCAUUCAUGAGCUUCAUAACGAGCUGUUUUAGACUGUAACACAGACAGUAAUGGAUACCCUGCAAGCUGUUUUAUACAGUCUAACUUGAAACGGAACCUCGUGAUCCAGCCUCUGUGUUCGCAGGAAAGACACCGUAAUGGCUGCCCUAAGCUGAUGUAUAAAUUCUUCCUUGCUCGUGAGAUUCCUGCUCUAAUCCUUGUAGCCCGAAGAGAGAUACAUUUGCAUGUAGUUAGUGUUCAUGCCUCCAACUUGGUACUUUUAAAGACUAUGCACACUAUUGUUGAAAGACUACUCGUCCACUGGAAGACCGACUAUGUCCAAACGAAUGGAGCCACCAGGCUGAUCUUUGGUCAUGAGCAAUAUAGACACAGUGAUGGAUUUCUCCCCAAAGAUGAUUCACACCUUCUUUGGUGAUCUUCAUGGUCAGCUCUUUGGGUUCAUAAUAUAGACACAGUAACAGAUACCCCAAAGCUGAUUUUAGACAUUCGUCCUCUGUUACCAGCUUCUUGAUCUGCUGUUUGUUCGUGGCAUAGAUACAGUAAUGGAUGUCAUUGAGCUGAUUUUACAUUCUCCCUCUGUCAUGAGUAUUGUGAUCAACUCUAUUGAUUGAUAACAUUGUCACAGUAGAUGAAUAUACUACAGCUGACUUCUACAUUCAUCCUUCAUUAUGAGGCCCGUGAUCUGCUCUCUGUUCAUAUGAUAGAUGCUGUAAUAGACGCCUUCAUCACUGGUCACCGGGUUCAUGCAUCAUAGGGACCCACCAUAGAUGCUUUCUGACUGAUGUUCACAUUCUGGUCAACGAGUCGACAGUUACCCUACAUGUCAGGAAGACAGAGACCAAUAAAGGCCAAAUCCAGAACAAUGGGUGGAUUCUGCCUGGUCCUCACCUCCAAGGUUGCCUGUGUUGUUAGGGUCAUGGCUACAAUCGGAUCAGGGAACCCUAUGGAAGAGGAGGUGCAAGGAUUGUAAGGCCCAAUGAGAAUGGAGGACACCAAGGAAACGAGGCCUUCUAGAUACAGUAGGACCGAUGCAGAUCUGAACUCAUAGAGACUGUGACAGUGUGCAUGGGGCCUGCACAGGUCUAAGCCAGAUGGGGUCCCAGCACUGAAAGGGGCAGUGGACACAAGCCCCCAUCCCUAACUCGGAAGCUAUCUCCACUCGAUAGACUCGCUCAGAGGAAAAACUCUUUUUCUCCAAUGGAAUCUCCCUGGAUACAUAGACCACUCCUAAGAGCAGGCUCCAUGCUCAGAUGACCAAUACAAAAUGAACUCGAUGGCAUUUUUGGAAGACCUUGUGACACAUAUUGCUUUGUCUGGGUAUUUUUUCUUACCCAACAGACAUUUUGCUUGUAUAUUGAGGUUUCUGGUAUUAGUUUUUAUGAGUUUUAUAUGUCUGUGAUUGUAUGCGUCUCAGAGCCUGUAUUUGUUUCUGGUGAUUUUACAUAGGCUCUUUUUUUUUUUUUUGGCUUAUUCUGUUUUGUUUGCCUUUAUAUUUCCUCCUCCUUAGUUUAGGAGGAAAUGUAAUGAGUUUAGGAGGAAAUGUAAUGAGACAAUAGAAUAAUUAGUGGGAAUUUGGGUGGGUGUGUAAAUAGGGAGGAGAUGGGAGGUGUUGGGGGAUGGGAAACCAUAAUACAAAUAUAUUG